UUGACAGCCUCAGAGACUGAAACCUUCUAUUUAUCCACAGAUUAAAUACAGCCCAGACAGUGACAGUGCAGCUUCUAUGCUGACCUAGAGGGGUUACCAUCAAGGGGAUGAACACAUUAAUCUCCCCUUGGCAUUUGCCACCUUGCCGGAG
RNAcentral lists this small RNA (151 nucleotides) under Chrysemys picta bellii (western painted turtle). Its description in RNAcentral is "TUC338 (ENSCPBG00000025609.1)". Lineage: Eukaryota; Metazoa; Chordata; Testudines; Emydidae. The record is from RNAcentral.